AGAACGAACGCUGGCAGCGUGGAUUAGGCAUGCAAGUCGAACGGGAUCCGGGGAAUAGCAAUAUUUCCUGGUGAGAGUGGCGGAUUGGGGAGGAACACGUGAGCAACCUGCCCUGGAGAUGUGGAAAACCGUUGGAAACGACGGCUAAUACAGAAUGUGGCGUCCGAUGGCAUCAUCGGAACGCCGAAGGGGGCCCCCAAAGGCUCCCGCUCCGGGAUGGGCUCGCGCACCAUCAGCUUGUUGGCGGGGUAACGGCCCACCAAGGCUUACGGUUAGCUGGUCUGAGAGGAUGACCAGCCCCACUGGGACUGAGAUACUGCCCAGACUCCUACGGGAGGCUGCAGUCGAGGAUCAUUCGCAAUGGGCGAAAGCCUGACGAUGCGACGCUGCGUGGAGGAUGAAGGCCUUCGGGUUGUAAACUCCUGUCAUGGGGGAAGAGGCGAGGGGACCCAACACGUCCCUUAGUUGACUGUACCCCAAGAGGAAUGGGCGGCUAACUCUGUGCCAGCCGCCGC
RNAcentral lists this ribosomal RNA (515 nucleotides) under uncultured bacterium. RNAcentral describes it as "bacterial SSU rRNA". It matches the Rfam family "Bacterial small subunit ribosomal RNA", at positions 26 to 518 of the family's 1533-position model. The record is from RNAcentral.